UACGAAGGGGGCUAGCGUUGCUCGGAAUCACUGGGCGUAAAGCGCACGUAGGCGGAUUGUUAAGUCAGGGGUGAAAUCCUGGAGCUCAACUCCAGAACUGCCUUUGAUACUGGCGAUCUUGAGUCCGGGAGAGGAGACUGGAAUUUACGGUGUAGCGGUGAAAUGCGUAGAUAUCGUAAGGAAGACCAGUGGCGAAGGCGGGUCUCUGGACAGUUCCUGACGCUGAGGCACGAAGGCCAGGGGAGCAAACGGG
This 253-nucleotide ribosomal RNA is filed under the name uncultured bacterium. RNAcentral describes it as "partial 16S ribosomal RNA". It matches the Rfam family "Bacterial small subunit ribosomal RNA", at positions 524 to 776 of the family's 1533-position model. The record is from RNAcentral.